This 421-nucleotide ribosomal RNA is filed under the name uncultured bacterium. RNAcentral's name for it is "partial 16S ribosomal RNA". It matches the Rfam family "Bacterial small subunit ribosomal RNA", at positions 360 to 773 of the family's 1533-position model. The record is from RNAcentral.
AAUAUUGGACAAUGGGGGCAACCCUGAUCCAGCCAUGCCGCGUGUGUGAAGAAGGUCUUCGGAUUGUAAAGCUCUUUAAGUUGGGAGGAAGGGCUUUAGGUUAUUACCCUGUAGCUUUGACGUUACAAACAGAACAACCACCGGCUAACUCUGUCCCAGCAGCCGCGGUAAUCCAAAGGGUCCAGGCGUUAAUCGGAAUUACUGGGCGUAAAGCGCGCGUAGGUGGUUCAGUAAGAUGGGUGUGAAAUCCCCGGGCUUAACCUGGGAACUGCUUUCAUAACUGCUGAGCUAGAGUACGGUAGAGGGUAGUGGAAUUUCCUGUGUAGCGGUGAAAUGCGUAGAUAUCGGAAGGAACACCAGUGGCGAAGGCGACUACCUGGACUGAUACUGACACUGAGGUGCGAAAGCGUGGGGAGCAAAC